This 378-nucleotide ribosomal RNA is filed under the name uncultured cyanobacterium. Its description in RNAcentral is "bacterial SSU rRNA". It matches the Rfam family "Bacterial small subunit ribosomal RNA", at positions 377 to 770 of the family's 1533-position model. The record is from RNAcentral. Lineage: Bacteria; Bacillati; Cyanobacteriota.
GAAAGCCUGACGGAGCAACGCCGCGUGCGGGAGGACGGUUUGUGGACUGUAAACCGCUUUUAAUAGGGAAGAAGUACUGACGGUACCUAUUGAAUAAGCAUCGGCUAACUCCGUGCCAGCAGCCGCGGUAAUACGGAGGAUGCAAGCGUUAUCCGGAAUUAUUGGGCGUAAAGGGUCCGCAGGUGGCUCAUCAAGUCAGCUGUUAAAGACUGGGGCUUAACUCCGGAGUGGCAGUUGAAACUGAUGGACUAGAGUACGGUAGGGGUAGAGGGAAUUCCUAGUGUAGCGGUGAAAUGCGUAGAUAUUAGGAAGAACACCAGUGGCGAAGGCGCUCUACUGGGCCUGUACUGACACUGAGGGACGAAAGCUAGGGGAGCG